CAAUAGCGUAUAUUAAAGUUGUUGCAGUUAAAAAGCUCGUAGUUGGAUUUCGGGGCCCCGGACGCUCGUUGCGUUGUCUGCUGGACUUGUCCUGUGGGCGCGUGGCGGUCGUCGGUCUCUGAGUCGGAUCGGUCCGCCGAGAGGCGUGCACUGACCGACGGCCCCUGUUGUCUCUCGGGUUGCCCGCCUGCACUUAACUGUUGCGGACGGGGAGUUCGGGACGUUUACUUUGAACAAAUUAGAGUGUUCCAAGCAGGCCGUUUGCUUUGAAUACAUUAGCAUGGAAUAAUGGAAUAGGGCUGCGUGGCCUGUCGUCUGACGGCGGGUCCUCGUGUCCUAUUUUGUUGGUUUUCGGGACCGCAGUCAUGGUCAAGAGGGACAGUUGGGGGCAUUCGUAUUCAGUUGUCAGAGGUGAAAUUCUUGGAUUUACGGAAGACGAACAACUGCGAAAGCAUUUGCCAAGGAUGUUUUCAUUAA
Molecule: ribosomal RNA, 477 nt
Filed under: uncultured eukaryote
Lineage: Eukaryota
Description: partial 18S ribosomal RNA
Rfam family: Eukaryotic small subunit ribosomal RNA
Source: RNAcentral